AGUGAACGCUGGCGGCAGGCUUAACACAUGCAAGUCGAACGGCAACACACUACGAGCUUGCUCUUACGGGUGACGAGUGGCGGACGGCUGCGGAAUACGUCGGAAUCUACUUUUUCGCGGCUGGUAACGUAGGCUAACAUACGCUAAUACCUCAGACGACCUACGGGUGAACGCAGGGGAUCUUCGGACCUUGCGCGCUUGUGUGAGCCGAUGUCGGAUUAGCUAGUUGGCGGGGUAAAGGCACACCAAGGCAACGAUCCGUAGCUGGUCUGAGAGGAUGACCAGCCACACUGGAACUGAGACACGGUCCAGACUCCUACGGGAGGCAGCAGUGGGGAAUAUUGGACAAUGGGCGCAAGCCUGAUCCAGCAAUACCGCGUGGGGGAAGAAGGCCUUCGGGUUGUAAAGCGCUUUUGUUGGGAACGAAAAGGAGCAGGUUAAUACCCCGGGGUAAUGACGGUACCGAAAGAAUAAGCACCGGCUAACUACGUG
RNAcentral lists this ribosomal RNA (492 nucleotides) under uncultured bacterium. Its description in RNAcentral is "partial 16S ribosomal RNA". It matches the Rfam family "Bacterial small subunit ribosomal RNA", at positions 29 to 507 of the family's 1533-position model. The record is from RNAcentral.